GUAACCUUGCAACUAACGCAUGCUGGGUUGGGACCUACCUCACCAUUUUCAACCUCUUUUAAUGUGUAUUACUGAAAGCACUUGUGUCCAGCUUCGCCCCAAUUACCCAUCAGCACGCCAAUGGUAUAAAAUAUGAGAAUGCCUGCAGUUCUGAGAGACUGGGUUGAGAUGGUAUAUCUCCGGCCUCCCGCCAGCGAAUAAAUCCUCUUUUCCUUCCUAGCCUAGUUCGGUGACUGUGCUGUCUAUACCACCAAGACCACGAGGGAAGGAACCCUGGCGAGGACAACCCCAGCCCCUCUUUAAGACUUUGCCAUUUGGCUGCAGCCUUUUACAGAGCCGAGCCCAAGGGCCUGCGUUCCUGCUCAGAGUGUGGGAACGCUCCGCGCCACGGAAGAAGCUCGAGGGCGGACCCACCACCUUCCCAGCAGCCCACGCUGCCGCCGCUUCUCGAGGCCCGCGCGGCCGGAAAAGCCCCUUCCGCCCCCGCCCCCCCGUGCCGUAGGCGGGGCGUGUGCGUCGGCUUGGCAGGCGCGCGUCCGGCUGUCUCCUUCCGCCCGCCCGUCACGGCGCGCUCGGCUGUCGGGUUCUGCGGCAAUCUUCAGCAGGCUCAGGCGGGGGCCCUGGGCCCCCGCGAGAAAGGUUGUUUCCGCUUCGGUUUCCAGACAAAAGAUAAAAAAAGGAAAAGAAGGAAAAAAAGGAGGAAGCAACCACAUGCUGUCACCUUUCCAACAUUGUGCUCAUGUUUCAAGAAUUAUUUUGUGGUAUUUUUGGUAGUUAGUUUGCAUCUUUACUAGUUUGUCAAGAUCACUAUCACAGCAUCUACUAUGUUAGGCAGAAAAUUAUGUGUAUAAUUUGCUGGAUAUAUCAAAUGUAAAUAUAUUUUAAAUUUUAGGUUUAGAUUAUUAUCUCUUUAAAUAUUUUAUCAAGAUUAGUGGAGCAGUCCCACAUAUGCAAAACAUCUGAAAAUAUUCAUUGGACUUUUUUCUACCUCUGUACUCCUAGAAAGAUCAAAUUAAGUAGAUGCUCUUACUUUCUAAUUUUAUUUUUUUAAAAUAUGUAUUAGUGUAGUUUCAUAUACUGUUCUUGGUAUAAUUUGGUAUACUUUUUAAAACACACAAUGUUUAAUCUCUUUAGAAAAGGAGACUGUCAAAAAUAAAAAUCCCCUUUAACUCUCAAAAUAAAUAUAAUCAGAUUUACAAAAGUUGAUUAUCAUCAUGUCUUCUAUCUUAUGUGGAAUACUUACCUGCUCUGCCAAAUCA
Molecule: long non-coding RNA, 1259 nt
Filed under: Dasypus novemcinctus (nine-banded armadillo)
Lineage: Eukaryota; Metazoa; Chordata; Mammalia; Cingulata; Dasypodidae
Description: lncRNA (ENSDNOG00000052116.1)
Source: RNAcentral